Molecule: ribosomal RNA, 516 nt
Filed under: uncultured bacterium
Lineage: Bacteria
Description: partial 16S ribosomal RNA
Rfam family: Bacterial small subunit ribosomal RNA
Source: RNAcentral
GACGAACGCUGGCGGCAUGCCUAAUACAUGCAAGUCGAGCGGACUUGAUGAGAAGCUUGCUUCUCAGAUAGUUAGCGGCGGACGGGUGAGUAACACGAAGGCAACCUGCCCUCAAGCUUGGGACAACUACCGGAAACGGUAGCUAAUACCGAAUACUUGUUUUCUUCGCCUGAAGGAAACUGGAAAGACGGAGUAAUCUGUCACUUGGGGAUGGGCCUGCGGCGCUUUAGCUAGUUGGGAAGGUAACGGCUCACCAAGGCGACGAUGCGUAGCCGACCUGAGAGGGUGAUCGGCCACACUGGGACUGAGACACGGCCCAGACUCCUACGGGAGGCAGCAGUAGGGAAUCUUCCGCAAUGGGCGAAAGCCUGACGGAGCAAUGCCGCGUGAGUGAUGAAGGUUUUCGGAUCGUAAAGCUCUGUUGCCAGGGAAGAACGCUUGGGAGAGUAACUGCUCCCAAGGUGACGGUACCUGAGAAGAAAGCCCCGGCUAACUACGUGCCAGCCGCCGCCGUAA